RNAcentral lists this ribosomal RNA (17 nucleotides) under Colletotrichum lupini. RNAcentral's name for it is "partial 18S ribosomal RNA". Lineage: Eukaryota; Fungi; Ascomycota; Sordariomycetes; Glomerellales; Glomerellaceae. The record is from RNAcentral.
GGAGGGAUCAUUACUGA